Long non-coding RNA from Mustela erminea (ermine), 709 nucleotides. RefSeq lists it as uncharacterized. NCBI's taxonomy places the organism in Eukaryota, Metazoa, Chordata, Mammalia, Carnivora, Mustelidae. The transcript has 4 exons. The record is from RefSeq and is a predicted model, not a curated record.
UGCGGUGGUUCCUUUUUCUAAGCGAGAGGACGGUUGGCAGGAUUCUUUUGUCUCCUAAGAAGAACCAAGAGGAAGCUGAGCCAAGAGCCUCAAAGGGGGACCCAAGAAGGCAAAGGGAGAAAGAGGUUCCCAAAGACCAACAAGGCAAAUCCUUAGGGCUUCCACAAGGAUUAGGAAAUCAUCUCUUCACCCAUGUGACUGCUUACAGUCUUGAAACGCCAAGGAAGGUUUUGGUGGAGAUGGGAGGAGUAAAGGAUCUCCAGUGGACAGCGCAUCUGACUUGACUAAAGGCAUCAACCCAGACUGUAGCCCAUCCUCAAUCUCAGGAACGGGGAAAUCCAAUGGGAAAACCAUGCCUGUAAAGACGCAGAAGGAGGAGAUCAGUGCCAAAGAAGGAGGCAGAAAUUUCUUUGGGCUAACUUGGACCUCAGUCUCCACAAAACGGCCCUGUUCCACUCAACAUGAAAAAGAAUCCAGCACGAUCCUUUACUGUCCAACCUUGCUUUCUACCCUGCUUGUUAAUCAUGCCUAGGGGGGGCACUAAGUUUAACUGCAGAUAGUCAAUUUUGUUAAUGGAAUUCCAAGCUCAUCCGUUUUCCGUUGGGAGGAUGAGUGCAUCUUGCUGUUUCUCUAAAGCAAGUAUCUAGUGCUUUCAUCUUUUAGUGCCCUAACAUGCGAUCUGUCAUCCAAGUAAAAAAAAUAAUAAAUA